RNAcentral lists this ribosomal RNA (232 nucleotides) under uncultured bacterium. RNAcentral describes it as "partial 16S ribosomal RNA". It matches the Rfam family "Bacterial small subunit ribosomal RNA", at positions 335 to 584 of the family's 1533-position model. The record is from RNAcentral.
ACUCCUACGGGAGGCAGCAGUCGGGAAUAUUGGACAAUGGGCGAAAGCCUGAUCCAGCAAUACCGCGUGUGUGAAGAAGGCCUGCGGGUUGUAAAGCACUUUCAGUUGGGAAGAUAAUGACGUUACCAACAGAAGAAGCACCGGCUAACUCCGUGCCAGCAGCCGCGGUAAUACGGAGGGUGCAAGCGUUAAUCGGAAUUACUGGGCGUAAAGCGCACGUAGGCGGUUUACU